Molecule: ribosomal RNA, 677 nt
Filed under: Koerneria ruehmi
Lineage: Eukaryota; Metazoa; Nematoda; Chromadorea; Rhabditida; Neodiplogasteridae
Description: eukaryotic LSU rRNA
Rfam family: Eukaryotic large subunit ribosomal RNA
Source: RNAcentral
ACAAGUACCGUGAGGGAAAGUUGCAAAGAACUUUGAAGAGAGAGUUUAAGAGUACGUGAAACCACUAGGAUGGAAGCGGAUAGAGCUGACGAGUAGCCGGCGAUAUUCAGCGUGACGGCUGUCCGGAGCUCCGGGGUUUGCCUGUGUCGAUUGGCACGGGCGCUCUGGGCUUGCCUGUGGCGGUCUAGCGUGCAUUUAUCGUCGGUAUUGUGCUGAGAGCUAUGGUGCGUCGCUCCGGCGCCUGAGGUGUUGCCGACCACUUCGGUGGACGUGUCUUGCCUCGGGAGUGCUGGUUCUGUCGUGCUAUGGUGUCCUGUGCAGAGUAGCGCGAACGUGAUGCCUUCGGGUGUCGCUGCUCGAUCUCGGCAUGUGAAGUCGGUCACCUAUCCGUCCCGUCUUGAAACACGGACCAAGAAGUCUAGCAUGUACGCGAGUCAAUGGGUGUUCAAAACCUAUAGGCGUAAUGAAAGUAAAGGUCGGUUCGGCCGGCUGAUAUGGGAUCCGCUGGGGUUUCGACCUCGGCGGCGCACCAUAGCCCCAUCCUGAAUGCUUGCAUUGGGGUGGCGGAAGAGCGUACAUGCUGGGACCCGAAAGAUGGUGAACUAUGCCUGAGCAGGACGAAGCCAGAGGAAACUCUGGUGGAAGUCCGUAGCGGUUCUGACGUGCAAAUCGAUCGU